Molecule: unclassified non-coding RNA, 1409 nt
Filed under: Hevea brasiliensis (rubber tree)
Lineage: Eukaryota; Viridiplantae; Streptophyta; Magnoliopsida; Malpighiales; Euphorbiaceae
Source: RNAcentral
GACAAAAUAUCCACCAGGCCUUAACAAUCGGUCGACUUCAACAAGAAAAAUACCAUCUUUCUGAUCCCAGUCAACAUGACAUUCCGCACAAUGUAUCAUAUCAAAGGAAAGAGAUGGAUAAGGCAACUGCUUUGAAUUAAAUGAUCCAAUCAUUGCGGGAAGACCUCUUUCAAGUGUCAGCUGAACUUGACUGCCAGAAGCUUCAUAGUUCGCAACACACAUGGUCAACAGUUGGCUAGAAAAGAGAUGUGCCCCAAAACUGCCAUAGCCACAUCCAAUAUCCAAAAUAGUUCGGACUCCAGCUCGUACAAAGUUUGAUUCAUUCCGCAGCCCAAUCAUUUCUGCUAUUUGAUGUGAGUAGUCUUCAAUGCUGUCAAACAUGGCAGAGUCUGACCGAAAGGAAAUCUGCUCUUCUUCCAACAUCAUCAACCUUUUUGUCAUACUUCCAGAGGAGAGUACCUCUUGAGCAGUAAUAUUAACAUUUGCAUGCCAAAUGACAUCUCUACCGGUAGGCCACCUAAGAGGAAUCUUGUAAUUAACAGGGGGAAGUACCAAGCAAUUUUGUCUUGAACCAGGUCCGCAAUGGCGGUCAACCUCCUCACCUUUAGAAAGGCCCAAAUCAAGAUUUUCUGACACAUUGAAACAUGGAAUAAAGUUCUCAGAUUCAGGAGGACAGUACUCUAUAUCCUUCACAUUUGUAGCACCAAGAGAGAGCUGUCCAAUGUCUCUCAAAUCCGAUACUACUUGCUCCUGAAGCUGCCUGUAUCCAUGGUAUAUAUGACCUCUCGACGAGGAAGUUAUCGAAAUUGUCCACCAAAAAGAUCCAGUAAGGGCAAGAAGUAUUAUGACAACUAAGCUCAGCCUGAUCAAAACCAAAGCAUACUUGAGUCUAUUUCUUCCUGUUCCAGGGCUAAAUGGAUCAGAAAGUAAGCCAUUUUCACCCAAAUUAUGUUUUGAAGGAGAAUUAUCUGGAAACAGAAUCCGGCAAAGGAAUUUGGUAGGUGAAUAAGUCAGAUCACCAGGCGAGCGAUUACGCUCCAAAUCUUCCUUUUCUAUUUUAUCUUUCAUUUGAGAGUCAUCCCAGAAAUCAGGGCCAUUAACUGAUAACCUCCCCCCACCUGACACACCUCUAUGGAGUGGCCUUGACAUGUUCCAACCUUAAACCCAAAAAUAAAUGAAACCCAAUUUCUUAAUAGCAAAAAAGCUUUCAACUUUCUAUCAAAUUCCCACAAAUCAAAGAAUUCCCAGUCUUGUUCCUGAACUUGAGCUCCCACUCUUCUCUCACAUUCGAAACAAAUUUUGGAUUGUUAAGAGAGAGAAAGAACAAAAAUAAAAUAGAGAGAGAAACAAAAGGGGUUGAGAAUAUAAUGCAGUAGAAGUAUGGAUCCAAUCACUACAGGUGCGCUCAC